Macaca fascicularis (crab-eating macaque) is the source of this 148-nucleotide unclassified non-coding RNA. It matches the Rfam family "Metazoan signal recognition particle RNA". Rfam says of the family: The signal recognition particle (SRP) is a universally conserved ribonucleoprotein. It is involved in the co-translational targeting of proteins to membranes. Lineage: Eukaryota; Metazoa; Chordata; Mammalia; Primates; Cercopithecidae. The record is from Ensembl.
GCCAGGCAUGGUGGCGCAUACCUGUAAUCCCAGCUAUUCAGGAGGCUGAGGCACAAGAAUCACUUGAGCCCGGGAGGCAGAGGUUGCAGUGAGCUGAGGUCACGCCACUGCACUCCAUCCUGGGCAACAGAGUGAGACUUCGUCUCAA